Molecule: ribosomal RNA, 481 nt
Filed under: uncultured bacterium
Lineage: Bacteria
Description: partial 16S ribosomal RNA
Rfam family: Bacterial small subunit ribosomal RNA
Source: RNAcentral
GACGAAUGCUGGCUGCGUGCUUAACACAUGCAAGUCGAACGGUGAAGGGGAGCUUGCUCCCCGGAUCAGUGGCGAACGGGUGAGUAACACGUGGGCAACCUGCCCCUCACUCUGGGAUAACUCCGGGAAACCGGGGCUAAUACCGGAUACGACCGGGAGCGACAUCGCUCCUGGUGGAAAGAACUUCGGUGAGGGAUGGGCCCGCGGCCUAUCAGCUAGUUGGUGGGGUAACGGCCCACCAAGGCGACGACGGGUAGCCGGCCUGAGAGGGCGACCGGCCACACUGGGACUGAGACACGGCUCAGACUCCUACGGGAGGCAGCAGUGGGGAAUAUUGCGCAAUGGGCGAAAGCCUGACGCAGCGACGCAGCGUGAGGGACGAAGGCCUUCGGGUUGUAAACCUUUUUCAGCGGGGACGAAGCGAAAGUGACGGUACCCGCAGAAGAAGCACCGGCUAACUACGUGCCAGCAGCCGCAGUAA